AUACGGAGGGUCCGAGCGUUAAUCGGAAUUACUGGGCGUAAGGCGCGCGUAGGUGGAUGUAUAAGUCAGAUGUGAAAGCCCUGGGCUCAACCUAGGAACUGCAUUUGAAACUGUACGUCUAGAGUAUGGUAGAGGUGAGUGGAAUUUCAGGUGUAGCGGUGAAAUGCGUAGAGAUCUGAAGGAACAUCAGUGGCGAAGGCGACUCACUGGGCCAUUACUGACACUGAGGUGCGAAAGCGUGGGUAGCAAACAGGAUUAGAAACCCUAGUAGUCC
This 274-nucleotide ribosomal RNA is filed under the name uncultured bacterium. RNAcentral's name for it is "partial 16S ribosomal RNA". It matches the Rfam family "Bacterial small subunit ribosomal RNA", at positions 523 to 796 of the family's 1533-position model. The record is from RNAcentral.